AAGGAUUCAAAGGUCGAACAGACCUAAACCUUGAACUUCUACACCCAAGAAUAACCCUUAGUCCAACAUCGAGGUCGCAACCCUUUUUGUCGAUUAGAACUCUCAAAAAAGAUUACG
Molecule: ribosomal RNA, 117 nt
Filed under: Heptageniidae sp. CH-2014
Lineage: Eukaryota; Metazoa; Arthropoda; Insecta; Ephemeroptera; Heptageniidae
Description: partial 16S ribosomal RNA
Source: RNAcentral